RNAcentral lists this long non-coding RNA (914 nucleotides) under Homo sapiens (human). Its description in RNAcentral is "non-protein coding lnc-TTC23-2:2". The record is from RNAcentral. Lineage: Eukaryota; Metazoa; Chordata; Mammalia; Primates; Hominidae.
CUCCAAGUGAAAAUUUAAAAUUACUGCAGUUUUGGCCUGAUGAUGUUAACCAGCAAGAACAGAAUCUGAAACCAGAUGAGCUGUUAGUACUGCUUUCAUCUGUUUUACAGCCACAGCGACAGCAGUUCCCUGGCUUCUGGAAGGAGUGUCGGUCUAUCCAAAAAAUGUACUAACAGAUAUGUAAAGUCUGUCAUCCAUUUGCAGCAAAUUUUGCCUACGGUAUGAAAUAGGAGUUCAAUUUGACAUUGAAUAUUGAUAUCUUAGCAAUAUUAUCUCCCAAUCUGUGAACACGAAAUUUCUUUAUAUUUAUUCAAAUUAUCUUUGGUUUUUAAUGAUGUUAAAUCCAAGUAUUCUUUGUGAUGCUGUUGUAAAUGGAAUUUUUUGUGUUGUUCAUUGCUAAUGUAUAAAAACCAAUGAUGUUUGUAUAUUAAUCUUGUAUCCUGCAACCUCAUUGAACUAGUUUAUUAGCUCUAGUAAUAUGUUGGUGUGAAUCCCUUAAUAUUUUCUACAUACAAGAUCAUGUCAUCUGCAAAUUGUUUUACUUCUUCCUUUCCAAUUUGGAUGCUUUUUAUUUCAUCUUGCCUACUGCUUUGGCUACAACCUCCAGUACAAGAUUGAAUAGAAGUGAUGAGACAGAACAUCCUUGUCUUAUUUGUGAUCUCUGGGGGGGAAGGCUUACAGUAUUUUGCAUCAACAUAUCAGCUACGGGUUUUUCAUAGAUGUCCUUUCUCAGGAUGAAAAAGUCCAUGUUUGGCUUUUUGAAUGUUUUCAUCUAAGAGUUUUGGAUUUUGCCAAAUGUUAAAUGCUUCUUCUGUAUGCAUUGAGAUGAUCUUGUUGUUUUUGUCCUUUAUUCUAAUAAUAUGGUGUACUACAUUGAUUUCUGUAUGUUGAAGUUUGUAUUCCUAAGAUAAAUC